Molecule: ribosomal RNA, 285 nt
Filed under: uncultured bacterium
Lineage: Bacteria
Description: partial 16S ribosomal RNA
Rfam family: Bacterial small subunit ribosomal RNA
Source: RNAcentral
AACGAACGCUGGCGGCAUGCCUAACACAUGCAAGUCGAACGAGACCUUCGGGUCUAGUGGCGCACGGGUGCGUAACACGUGGGAAUUUGCCUCGGGGUAUGGAAUAACUCAGGGAAACUUGAGCUAAUACCAUAUAAUGUCUUCGGACCAAAGAUUUAUCGCCCUGAGAUAAGCCCGCGUAGGAUUAGCUAGUUGGUGGGUAAAGGCCUACCAAGCCGACGAUCCUUAGCUGGUCUGAGAGGAUGAUCAGCCACACUGGGACUGAGACACGGCCCAGACUCCUAC